This is a long non-coding RNA of Pipistrellus kuhlii (Kuhl's pipistrelle), 1714 nucleotides long. RefSeq lists it as uncharacterized. The record is from RefSeq and is a predicted model, not a curated record. The transcript has 2 exons. NCBI's taxonomy places the organism in Eukaryota, Metazoa, Chordata, Mammalia, Chiroptera, Vespertilionidae.
UUUCAGAGUGAAUGAUACUCACUCUACACCUUCUUUUAACUGAUGUGGGUAACUUCCAAGAGGAAGAAGUGGCAAAUAUCAACAAAAAAAAAAAAACUGGGAGAAGUCACCUGAGGAGGCAGCUGUCUGCCUUUACUCUCUCUGAGGUUAAUUUAGACUACCCAUGUUCACUUACACCAAGAAAACAAAGAUGGAUGCCCAGGCAAACAUCUUGUCAAAAGACAAACAUGGUCUCAGCAGGAAAAAUUUGCCUAUAUUUGCACACAGUCCACUUCUUUUUUUUCUUCUUUUUUCUCAUUUUUAUGAUGGAUUUCUGCCAAUUGACCAUGAGGUAAUCCAAGAAGUUUAGGAUGUUAAAACAAAGCAAAAAUGGGAUGGGCAACCAUUUGCAACAAAUAUCUCUGAUCUGUUAGAGGGAACUUCAAUCCUCACCCACAUCUUAUUUUAUAUCCUCCUUUAAUUCUCAAGUCUGGCCUUCUGUAAUUUAGUUUACUCUAGGAAAAAUCUUGCAUUAUGUAAUCAUGGUGAUAGUCUGCUCAGGUAGUUGAAUUACAAAGACAAAGGACUUUUCUCAUGGGGCAACUCUGUCUAUUGAGCUAAAUUCAUUUAAUAAUCUGAUGCUUAUCUGACCAUGUCUACUCUCAAAGGCCCCAAAAAUCUGAAAGUAAACCAAUUCCCAAUGGCACUAUAUGGAAAAUGUAAUUAUUGAUAAGAAAAGGAUUUUAAAAUCUCUACUUAGAAGCUCCCCAAAUUUAGAGAGACAGAUAUACAAAGUCAAUAUCCCUUCUAAAACAAGUAUUCCUACUGAACUGAGGAGACGGUCCAAGAUGUAGUUCUCCUAGGUAGAUCAUGAAAAUGCACUGCAGGCAUCUUUGUAAUGCAUGCUUCAGCACAGUUUCCCUUCGGGAUCCUCAAGGAUCCUCAACUCCAAGUUUGCCCGGCAGGUUCCCCACUUGCCUCUGCCAGCCUCCAUUUCCUGCUACAUGCAGAGAAGCAUAGGUACAUGGAUCUCACAGGGCUUCUCAAAGAUGUGAGUAAAGUUUGAGUAAGUAAAGUAAAAUAACUUGGCACAUCAAAUUGUUCAUAAAGAUGUUGAGUUGGAGCUCUUGUAAUUAUCGGUACAGGAGCCCCUCCCACCAGGCUGUAGUCAGAAGGCCCCCUGGCCAAUUCCCCCCAGUGAGACAGGAAGCUGCCACUGUGACAGGGCUUCCUGGAGACACGAUGCCUUCCUCUUCACCGUCACAAGGCCCAUCACAGAUUCCUUUAGAUUCAAACAUGAAAGGAAUGGGAGAGUCCAAAGAAAAGUUGCAUUUUCUAACAUUGUUCAGGACCAGUCUUGAGAACCAAUCAAUUCUCAGCACAGUGCUCUUGCCCACCUCCAUCCCACCCCAUCCCAAACCCCUGUUGUUGCAGUUAAAAGUGACUGUGCAAGGCGAGGGAGUGCUUAGGUCAGAUGAGGAUAAGCAAAAAAUGGGUAAGACAGGCAAUAAAGGUGGUGGGAAGAGAUCUGAAUGCACCCAGGUAGGUGGGUGAGUAAUAAUACCACUAAUCAAUGCUAUAGUUGAUAGGGGAAAAAAAGACUGAAAGAAGAAAAAAUGGAGUUCUUGAUGCAGAGCUGUCCCUCGUAGAUAGCUAAGCCCACUGGCUUCUUCCUACCCUAUCAAUUCAUCACUUAGAGGCAACACUCUAGAAAAAGAGAUCAUGUGGUGCUUUA